GGAGUAAUGCUGGGAAACUGCCUGAUGGAGGGGGACAACUACUGGAAACGGUAGCUAAUACCGCAUAACGUCUUCGGACCAAAGUGGGGGACCUUCGGGCCUCAUGCCAUCAGAUGUGCCCAGAUGGGAUUAGCUAGUAGGUGGGGUAACGGCUCACCUAGGCGACGAUCCCUAGCUGGUCUGAGAGGAUGACCAGCCACACUGGAACUGAGACACGGUCCAGACUCCUACGGGAGGCAGCAGUGGGGAACAUUGCACAAUGGGCGCAAGCCUGAUGCAGCCAUGCCGCGUGUAUGAAGAAGGCCUUCGGGUUGUAAAGUACUUUCAGCGAGGAGGAAGGCAUUAAGGUUAAUAACCUUAGUGAUUGACGUUACUCGCAGAAGAAGCACCGGCUAACUCCGUGCCAGCAGCCGCGGUAAUACGGAGGGUGCAAGCGUUAAUCGGAAUUACUGGGCGUAAAGCGCACGCAGGCGGUCUGUCAAGUCGGAUGUGAAAUCCCCGGG
Molecule: ribosomal RNA, 503 nt
Filed under: uncultured bacterium
Lineage: Bacteria
Description: bacterial SSU rRNA
Rfam family: Bacterial small subunit ribosomal RNA
Source: RNAcentral